UUGCUAUGCCGAAGCGGCAGGAUGAGAACCUGCAGCAGCUUCGGGGCGAACGCAGGCGAGACAACGUUGCCUCUGGCAACGGCCCGCAGGGCGAGGCAAAGCCGAGUCAUCCUGCCGCCCGGUUAU
Molecule: small RNA, 126 nt
Filed under: Mixta tenebrionis
Lineage: Bacteria; Pseudomonadati; Pseudomonadota; Gammaproteobacteria; Enterobacterales; Erwiniaceae
Description: Mixta sp. BIT-26 RtT sRNA
Rfam family: RtT RNA
About the family: This family represents a bacterial cis-regulatory element known as RtT RNA. The exact function of RtT is unknown although it is thought that it may be involved in changing the cellular response in relation to amino acid starvation.
Source: RNAcentral